GGAGUUCGAUCCUGGCUCAGAUUGAACGCUGGCGGGAUGCUUUACACAUGCAAGUCGGAACGGCAGCACGGACUUCGGUCUGGUGGCAGGCGCCAAUGGUGGGCUGGCGCAUCUGAACGAUACAAACGUCGCGGGGAUAUUGCAAGCGUAAUAUUAUUACAUGCUGCGUGGAAAGCGGGGAACAUUGGAGCAUCUUUGCCUGUCGACGACAUUCUGGUUAACCGUUGGACGUUGUGUCACCAAAGCGAUCGUAACAGUUUGAGGAUGACGUCACCUGGGACUGAGACACGGCCCAGACUCCUGCGAGGAGGCAGCAGUGGGGAAUUUUGGACAAUGGGGAAACCCUGAUCCAGCCAUCCCGCGUGCGAUGAAGGCCUUCGGGUUGUAAAACACUUUUGGCAGGAAAGAAACGGCCUGGAUAAUACCCGAUACUGACGGUACAGAAUAACAGUAACUUCGCCGUAACGCGGUAAUACGUAAGUGCAAGCGUUAAUCGGAAUUACUGGGCGUAAAGCGUGCGCAGGCGGUUCGGAAGAAAGAUGUGAAAUCCCAGAGCUUAACUUUGGAACUGCAUUUUUAACUACCGAGCUAGAGUGUCAGAGGGAGGUGGAAUUCGCGUGUAGCAGUGAAAUGCGUAGAUAUGCGGAGGAACACCGAUGGCGAAACAGCCUCCUGGACUUACUGACGCUCAUGCAACGUGGGGAGCAAACAGGAUUAGAUACCUGAGCAGUCGCCUAAACUUGAUGUCAACUAGCUGUUGGGGCCUUCGGGCCUUGGUAGCGCAGCUAACGCGUGAAGUUGACCGCCUGGGAGAUGCGGUCGCAAGAUUAAAACUCAAGGAAUUGACGGGGACCGCACAAGCGGUGGAUGAUGUGGAUUAAUUCGAUGCAACGCGAAAAACCUUACCUACCCUUGACAUGUCUGGAAUCCCGAAGAGAUUUGGGAGUGCUCGCAAGAGAACCGGAACACAGGUGCUGCAUGGCUGUCGUCAGCUCGUGUCGUGAGAUGUUGGGUUAAGUCCCGCAACGAGCGCAGCCCUUGUCAUUAGUUGCUACGAAAGGAGCACUCUAAUGAGACUGCCGGUGACAAACCGGAGGAAGGUGGGGAUGACGUCAGAGUCCUCAUGGCCCUUAUGGGUAGGGCUUCACGUCAUACAAUGGUCGGGACAGAGGGUCGCCAACCCGCGAGGGGAGCCAAUCCCAGAAACCCGAUCGUAGUCCGGAUCGCAGUCUGCAACUCGACUGCGUGAAGUCGGAGAUCGCUAGUAAUCGCGGAUCAGCAUGUCGCGGUGAAUACGUUCCCGGGUCUUGUACACACCGCCCGUCACACCAUGGGAGUGGGUUUUACCAGAAGUAGUUAGCCUAACCGUAAGGAGGGCGAUUACCUGUGCGAAGUUCAUGACUGGGGGUGAGUCGUAACAAAGGUAA
RNAcentral lists this ribosomal RNA (1427 nucleotides) under uncultured Bordetella sp. Its description in RNAcentral is "partial 16S-23S ribosomal RNA intergenic spacer". It matches the Rfam family "Bacterial small subunit ribosomal RNA". Lineage: Bacteria; Pseudomonadati; Pseudomonadota; Betaproteobacteria; Burkholderiales; Alcaligenaceae. The record is from RNAcentral.